AUGCCAGCAGCAACUGUAGACGAUAGCCAAAGAAUUUGUGAAGGUUGGGCUUGCAACCUGGAUGAAGAGAUGAAGAAAAUUCAUCAAGUUAUUCGAAAAUACAAUUACGUUGCUAUGGACACCGAGUUUCCAGGUGUGGUUGCAAGACCCAUUGGAGAAUUCAGGAGCAACGCUGACUAUCAGUACCAACUAUUGCGAUGUAAUGUAGACUUGUUAAAGAUAAUUCAGCUAGGACUGACAUUUAUGAAUGACCAAGAAUACCCUCCAGGAACUUCAACUUGGCAAUUUAAUUUUAAAUUUAAUUUGAAGGAGAACAUGUAUGUCCAGGACUCUAUAGAACUACUAAAAACAUUUGAUAUCCAGUUUAAGAAACAGGAGGAGGAAGGAAUUGAGAGCCAGUACUCUGAGAACUUCUUAUUACUUCAGGAGUGGUCCUCUGUGAAGGAGUCAAGUGGUUGUCAUUUUGUAAUGGUUAUGACUUUGGCUAUCUAAUCAAAAUCCUGACCAACUCUAACUUGCCUGAAGAAGAACUUGACUUCUUUGAGUUCCUACGAUUAUUUUUUCCUAUCAUUUAAGAUGUGAAGUACUUCAUGAAGAGCUGCAAAAAUCUUAAAGUUGGACUAUAAGAAGUUGCUGAACAGUUAGAGCUGGAACGGAUAGGACCACAACAUCAGGCAAGAUCUGAUUCAUUGCUCACAGGAAUGGCCUUUUUCAAAAUGAGAGAAAUGUUCUUUGAAGAUCAUAUUGAUGAUGCCAAAUAUUGUGGUCAUUUGUAUGGCCUUGGUUCUGGUUCAUCCUAUGUACAGAAUGCCACAGGGAAUGCAUAUGAAGAGGAAGCCAAUAAGCAGCCAUGACAUGAAAUAGUCCUUUAGUUUUUAUUUUAUUUGAGCUACACACAUGCUUGUGUAUAGGUUUUAUCUAUGGUUGAAUCCUUGAACAGUAGACAGCACCUUUCUUUUUUCCUUUUUAUGGCCCAUUUUAUUUUCUGCCUUUCAGUAUUAAGUAUGACCAUUCCUAACUCAGAUCUUA
Nycticebus coucang (slow loris) is the source of this 1029-nucleotide RNA transcript. It is a transcript of the gene named CCR4-NOT transcription complex subunit 7-like, with no coding region annotated. The transcript has a single exon. Lineage: Eukaryota; Metazoa; Chordata; Mammalia; Primates; Lorisidae. The record is from RefSeq and is a predicted model, not a curated record.